CUCUUAGACGAGUCCCAAAUAGGACGAAACGCGCGUCUUGGAU
Non-coding RNA from Schistosoma rodhaini, 43 nucleotides. The record is from Rfam. NCBI's taxonomy places the organism in Eukaryota, Metazoa, Platyhelminthes, Trematoda, Strigeidida, Schistosomatidae.